AACGAACGCUGGCGGCAGGCCUAACACAUGCAAGUCGAACGCCGUAGCAAUACGGAGUGGCAGACGGGUGAGUAACGCGUGGGAACAUACCCCUCGGUUCGGAAUAAACUCAGGGAAACGUUGAGCUAAUACCGGAUACGUCCGAGGUUUUAAUUCGGCCUUGGAGAAAGAUUUAUCGCCGGAGGAUUGGCCCGCGUCUGAUUAGCUUGUUGGUGAGGUAAUGGCUCACCAAGGCGACGANCAGUAGCUGGUCUGAGAGGAUGAUCAGCCACAUUGGGAC
RNAcentral lists this ribosomal RNA (280 nucleotides) under uncultured bacterium. RNAcentral describes it as "partial 16S ribosomal RNA". It matches the Rfam family "Bacterial small subunit ribosomal RNA", at positions 29 to 319 of the family's 1533-position model. The record is from RNAcentral.